GUAAAUUACUUUCUUUGUACGCGGACGUGUCGCGUCUGUCGCGGCUUUAUUGCCCCGGCGCGAGAGUGUAUAUAAAAGUGCAUAUCCCUACGAAUGGAUUUUACAACUUCAAAAAAGGAUAUCCACCCGGGCCCAUUUAUGACCAGACGAAAGCCCAGAAACCGACUUGGCCCUUGGGGGAGUUGCGAUGAUGCCAAGAACCAUGAAAUGUGAAUGAGAAGCUUGAAUAUGCAUUAUUCCUUCUACUGGCCGGCUAUCAACUGGCAAUCAGAAGUUGGCCGAGUGGAAAAAUCAAAUGUGUGAAGUGGC
Drosophila erecta is the source of this 309-nucleotide long non-coding RNA. RefSeq lists it as uncharacterized. The transcript is spliced from 2 exons. Lineage: Eukaryota; Metazoa; Arthropoda; Insecta; Diptera; Drosophilidae. The record is from RefSeq and is a predicted model, not a curated record.